GAUGAACGCUGGCGGCGUGCCUAAUACAUGCAAGUCGAGCGAACGGACGAGAAGCUUGCUUCUCUGAUGUUAGCGGCGGACGGGUGAGUAACACGUGGAUAACCUACCUAUAAGACUGGGAUAACUUCGGGAAACCGGAGCUAAUACCGGAUGAUAUUUUGAACCGCAUGGUUCAAAAGUGAAAGACGGUCUUGCUGUCACUUAUAGAUGGAUCCGCGCUGCAUUAGCUAGUUGGUAAGGUAACGGCUUACCAAGGCAACGAUGCAUAGCCGACCUGAGAGGGUGAUCGGCCCCACUGGAACUGAGACACGGUCCCGAAUCCUACGGGAGGCCGCCGUAGGGAAUCUUCCGCAAUGGGGGAAAGCCCGACGGAGCAACCCCGCGUGAGUUAUGAAGGUCUUCGGAUCGUAAAACUCUGUUAUUAGGGAAGAACAUAUGUGUAAGUAACUGUGCACAUCUUGACGGUACCUAAUCAGAAAGCCACGGCUAACUACGUG
Molecule: ribosomal RNA, 497 nt
Filed under: uncultured bacterium
Lineage: Bacteria
Description: partial 16S ribosomal RNA
Rfam family: Bacterial small subunit ribosomal RNA
Source: RNAcentral